Podarcis lilfordi (Lilford's wall lizard) is the source of this 1449-nucleotide non-coding RNA. Lineage: Eukaryota; Metazoa; Chordata; Lepidosauria; Squamata; Lacertidae. The record is from the annotation of a GenBank genome assembly.
AGCGGGGGAUAGGAGAUGUGUCAAUAUGGUGCACUGCAGUGAUCCGGGAUGCAUGUGGCAAAAUCCUGUGAGCAGAUGAGGAAAGGCAAGGAAGUGAAUUUGCCCCAUUAGAUCACCAGAAAAAGGAAUAUUAUGAAAUGGGCCACAAUCACUAAAGUUGGGAAGAAAUGGGGCAAUAUUUUCACCCAGCAGACACAACAUCUCUCCCCAACCUGCACCACACAGUUCCGAACCCUCUCCAUUAUACAGUGGUACCUCCAGUUACGAACUUAAUUGGUUCCAGAGGUCCGUUCGUAACCGGAAACCGUUCGUAACAUGAGGCGCGCUUUCGCUAAUGGCGCCUCCAGCUGCUGCUGCGCCGCUGGAGCACGACUUCUGCCCACAUCCCGAGGCAAAGUUCGCAACAAGGGGCAUCUACUUCCGGGUUAGCGGAGUGCGUAACGCAAAGCAUUUGUAAGGGGGAUUGUACGUAACACAAGGUACCACCGUACUUGUGGAAAUUAGCCAUUAUAAGCCUCCUGAAAGGUACUCCCUAGUAGACCCCUAGGGGGAAAGACAUGGCAUGUUGGCCCUUUACUUGUCAGCCAAUGACCUAUUAUUGACAUUAUUAUUUUUAUGAUAUUAUAUAUCUAUCUAGAUUUUAAUAUAAGACUCUCUCAAGAUGGCUUUUAGCGAGUAAAUCUAUAAUAAACUAUCUAUUUAUAACCAUAAAACACCAACCGUAACAUUGUUCUAUUGCUGGCAGGGUGCUCUCUACACCACCCUGAUAUUUUAUGAGAGGGUGGUAUGUAAAUGCUUGUAUGUAUAAAUAAAUAAAAGCAUAAGACCCAACAAUGACACUAGCCGCCAAUAGAAUCCGGACUCUUAAGAUCAGUAAGCUCUAUGAAAUUAUUAUGAGCUCAGCAGCACCAUAUAAAACACCAAACCAAUACAACCAUACAGUGGUAAACAAAUGGGUCUUCAGGCCUCAUUGAAAGGCUUGAUAGGCUGGUGUGAAUUCCACAGGCAUGGGGCCACCACCCAGAAAGCCCCGUCCCGUGUCCAUGCUGCCAAGCUCAUCGGCCUCACAUAAGGCAACUUAGAUAACCGGUUCCAUAAUGUACACAAGUUAGUAAUUUUAAGUAAUCAAUGAUGUCAUUAUUUCCGCAACUUUCAUUUCAAUGUAAACAUCAAAGCAAGAGUUGAUAAUUUAUUUUUUUAAUCAUUGACACCUGGUGCUUCCAGACUUGCCCUUGGGCUACGUUCUAGGCUCAGGUCCGCACUUUAAAGCUCCCUCUCUGAACCCCCCCUUUUUUUUUCCCCUGGCAAGUUUCCUGCUCUUUACCACUGGAAAACUCGAAUUGCCAUUUGUUCCGAUUCAGCAUUAAAGAGCAGAUUUUCCUGGGGAAAGUGGCAGAGUGAAACAAAAGUGGAGGUGGGGAGCCUCUGACACAAACCAGGAAAGCCGGG